CACGUAGUUAGCCGGCGCUUCUUCUGCAGGUACCGUCACUUGCGCUUCUUCCCUGCUGAAAGAGGUUUAUAACCCGAAGGCCUUCAUCCCUCACGCGGCGUCGCUGCAUCAGGCUUUCGCCCAUUGUGCAAUAUUCCCCACUGCUGCCUCCCGUAGGAGUCUGGGCCGUGUCUCAGUCCCAGUGUGGCCGGUCGCCCUCUCAGGCCGGCUACCCGUCGUCGCCUUGGUAGGCCAUCACCCCACCAACAAGCUGAUAGGCCGCGAGCCCAUCCCUGACCGAAAAACUUUCCAACCACCCCCAUGCGAGGACGGCUCAUAUCCGGUAUUAGCCCCGGUUUCCCGGAGUUAUCCCGAAGUCAAGGGCAGGUUACUCACGUGUUACUCACCCGUUCGCCACUAAUCCGCCCAGCAAGCUGGGCAUCAUCGUUCGACUUGCAUGUGUUAAGCACGCCGCCAGCGUCGUCCUGAGCCAGGAUACAAACUCU
RNAcentral lists this ribosomal RNA (485 nucleotides) under uncultured Cellulosimicrobium sp. Its description in RNAcentral is "partial 16S ribosomal RNA". The record is from RNAcentral. Lineage: Bacteria; Bacillati; Actinomycetota; Actinomycetes; Micrococcales; Promicromonosporaceae.